Molecule: transfer RNA, 74 nt
Filed under: Selenomonadaceae bacterium
Lineage: Bacteria; Bacillati; Bacillota; Negativicutes; Selenomonadales; Selenomonadaceae
Description: tRNA-Gly
Rfam family: tRNA
About the family: Transfer RNA (tRNA) molecules are approximately 80 nucleotides in length.
Source: RNAcentral
GCGGGCGUAGUUUAUCGGUAGAAUGGCGGCUUCCCAAGCCUCAGAGGGCGGUUCGACUCCGCUCGCCCGCUCCA